RNAcentral lists this transfer RNA (68 nucleotides) under Dinornis giganteus (giant moa). RNAcentral's name for it is "tRNA-Arg". The record is from RNAcentral. Lineage: Eukaryota; Metazoa; Chordata; Aves; Dinornithiformes; Dinornithidae.
AGAAAGUUAGUCUAAACAAGAUAGCUGAUUUCGGCUCAGCAGAUUAUAGAAAAUGCUAUAACUUUCUU